Mesoplodon densirostris (Blainville's beaked whale) is the source of this 791-nucleotide long non-coding RNA. RefSeq lists it as uncharacterized. The record is from RefSeq and is a predicted model, not a curated record. The transcript is spliced from 3 exons. NCBI's taxonomy places the organism in Eukaryota, Metazoa, Chordata, Mammalia, Artiodactyla, Ziphiidae.
CACACGUUCAUUUGGGCUGGGUUGUUACAAUGUUGCAAAGGCAGCUGAAAUGGAGCAAAGGCUCUGUUGGUCCAGUCCUUUCAAGAAGCUGAGGCCGAGAAGAGAUUAAAUGUGUAGGAGUCACUGGGGGACCCUGUGGAUGAGGACAAGGGGAGGGGGCAGCAGGAGGUGGGGCCCCCUGCAGGCUGGGAUGCUGGUCUGACGCCUGUGAAAGGAGAAGAGGAUGGAGGAGCCUCCAACUCCAGCUCAGUUCCAAGAAAGUUUCAACCAGACCACCGGGAAGUCUGAGAGCCAAAGUCUCCAUCAGAGAGGGUCCCACCGCUGCAGGAACAGGCCUGGGUCAGGACCCCACGUGCUCAGCCACAGCACAUGGUGUGACCUUGUAUAAAAGAAGCCUGAAUUCUGACUGGGAUAAGAUGGUUCCUUGAGACGAGUCUGCUGUCUUCUGGGUCUGCUGGCCUUCCCGAUAAAGUCACUACUCCGUGCCCCAGCAACUGGUCUCCCAAAUGAUUGGCCUGUCCUGUGGUGAGCAGAUGUGGUGAGCAAAACAGCUUGGACUCAGUUGCAAUGCAUUUGUUUCUUUGUUCUUCUUUCUCCUCCACCAGACUAUCAGCCCCCCACCCACCCACCCAGGGCAGGGAGUUCAUCUGUUGUAUCAACCUCUGGCCUCUUAACACGUGGCUAGACACUUAGUAGGCACUCACAUAUCUGUGGAAGGGAAGAAUGCAUGGAGGGAGACCUGGGCUUGAGAAAUUACUGUACUGAAACUGGGAUUUUGAAACUGUGGAAGA